GGCUGCAACUCGCCUGCAUGAAGUUGGAAUUGCUAGUAAUCGCGAAUCNGAAUGUCGCGGUGAAUACGUUCCCGGGCCUUGUACACACCGCCCGUCACACCAUGAGAGUCGAUAACACCCGAAGCCUGUGAGCUAACCUUUUAGGAGGCAGCAGUCGAAGGUGGGGUUGAUGAUUGGGGUGAAGUCGUAACAAGGUAUC
Molecule: ribosomal RNA, 199 nt
Filed under: uncultured bacterium
Lineage: Bacteria
Description: partial 16S ribosomal RNA
Rfam family: Bacterial small subunit ribosomal RNA
Source: RNAcentral